UGGGGAAUAUUGCACAAUGGGGGAAACCCUGAUGCAGCGACGCCGCGUGAGCGAAGAAGGUUUUCGAAUCGUAAAGCUCUGUCCUAUGAGAAGAUAAUGACGGUAUCAUAGGAGGAAGCCCCGGCUAAAUACGUGCCAGCAGCCGCGGUAAUACGUAUGGGGCGAGCGUUGUCCGGAAUUAUUGGGCGUAAAGGGUACGUAGGCGGUCUAUUAAGUCAGGUGUGAAAGCGUGAGGCUUAACCUCAUUAAGCACUUGAAACUGAUAGACUUGAGUGAAGGAGAGGAAAGUGGAAUUCCUAGUGUAGCCGUGAAAUGCGUAGAGAUUAGGAGAAACACCGGUGGCGAAAGCGGCUUUUUGGCCUGCAACUGACACUGAGGCGCGAAAGCGUGGGGAGCAAACAGG
Molecule: ribosomal RNA, 403 nt
Filed under: Verrucomicrobiota bacterium
Lineage: Bacteria; Pseudomonadati; Verrucomicrobiota
Description: Verrucomicrobia bacterium partial 16S ribosomal RNA
Rfam family: Bacterial small subunit ribosomal RNA
Source: RNAcentral